AAAUUGAAGAGUUUGAUCAUGGCUCAGAUUGAACGCUGGCGGCAGGCCUAACACAUGCAAGUCGAACGGUAACAGGAAGCAGCUUGCUGCUUUGCUGACGAGUGGCGGACGGGUGAGUAAUGUCUGGGAAACUGCCUGAUGGAGGGGGAUAACUACUGGAAACGGUAGCUAAUACCGCAUAACGUCGCAAGACCAAAGAGGGGGACCUUCGGGCCUCUUGCCAUCGGAUGUGCCCAGAUGGGAUUAGCUAGUAGGUGGGGUAAC
RNAcentral lists this ribosomal RNA (264 nucleotides) under Escherichia coli. Its description in RNAcentral is "partial 16S ribosomal RNA". It matches the Rfam family "Bacterial small subunit ribosomal RNA", at positions 1 to 261 of the family's 1533-position model. Lineage: Bacteria; Pseudomonadati; Pseudomonadota; Gammaproteobacteria; Enterobacterales; Enterobacteriaceae. The record is from RNAcentral.